Molecule: long non-coding RNA, 2669 nt
Organism: Mesocricetus auratus (golden hamster)
Lineage: Eukaryota; Metazoa; Chordata; Mammalia; Rodentia; Cricetidae
Exons: 2
Source: RefSeq, a predicted model, not a curated record
GGAUCACACAGGGCUUUGUGCACACUAGGCAAGUGGUCUGCUAGCUGAGCUAACGUCCCAGCCAGCAUAUCGGCUGUCACGCACCCUGCAGAGCCCUUGCCUGCCCAUCCCCCAGCCAGUGACACUGUAGAGAAGUAAAACGAGACCUUUGCUGGGAAAGUUUGUUUUUUUUUUUUACAGUAAAAGCAUUCCCAGAGUUACAAGGUGACUCACAGUGAAAUGUUCUUCUGAAAAAAAAAAAACACUUUCAAAUGAUUAUUAAUACAUUCAGUUGUUUGGCAUAUUUGUAAGCCAGGUUCCUUCAUAAACAAUGGAGAAAAAUCAGUAAACACUAGGAAAGCAGAUAUCUCCACUGGUACGGACUUUAUAGUUCCUUAGCCAAGACAUAUAGGAAAGGGAGUGUUUUAUCUCACACCUUUUAUACCUCUUUAUUCACACGUGUGCAUGCCUGCAUGAGUGUGGUCGCGUGUGUCACAGAGCACAUGGAGUGGUCAGAGACAAUCUGAGGGAAUCCAUUGUCUCCUUUCACCGCAUGGGAUCCGGGAACAAAUUCCGGUCAGCAGUCUUUUGUGACGGGUGCCUUUAACCCACAGAACCAUCUUGCUAUCCCAGGGCUGCAGUUUUAAACAGGAAAGCACAGCGGAUUGCUAUACUAGUGUGGACCCAGUGUGGCCCCCUAGGCUGGGCGUAGUGGCAAAUGCCUUAAUGCUAGUCCUAGGAACGCAGAAGCAGGCAGGUCUCUUGUGAGUUCCAGGACAGCCAUGGUUACGUGGUGAGACCCUAUCUCAAUAAACAACAAACUUGUACCCCCUGAUAAAUGACAUGUCCCUCUGUCCCUCUAGCAAUGGACUUUGCUGUCAAAAAAACCCUGAAGCAUCUUGAAGGUUCUAUGCUCUGAAUUGAAACAUUCAUGUUGUUAUGCAGGGGAAUUAGGGUCAGCACAGGUGUGUCCAGCCUUUUGGCUUCUCUAGGCUACACUGGAUGAAGAAUUGUCUUGGGCCACACAGGAGUGGGUAACUUUGACCCAUGGGUUUGGUAGCAGCACAAACGUCUUUGUUUCGCUAUCCUGGGCCACAGGCAUGGGUUAACCUCAGCAAAGACGCACUUAACAAAGGAGGCUGCCAACAGCAGUAUGAAGGUAAGUUCACAUGAAGGAGAACCUGGCUUGGUUUCCGGGCAGUUCCAAGAACCCCAGCUUGUCACAAGCUUUCUUGCCAGACCAUCUUUGGAUCGCCAGCCCCCAAAUAUUGACACGGAGACUUGAUAAUUAUGAAAUCUUGGCCUAUACCUUAGGCUUGUUCCCAACUAGUUCUUAAUAACUUAGACGAACCCAUUUCUAUCGAUCUGUGUUUUACCAUGCGGUUUUUUACCAUUCAUUCCGUGUGUCUGGCUCCCUCUGAAUCUCACUGGCAUCCCUCUGUGCCUUGACUGUCUUUUCCUACUUCCUCUCUCUCUGCCUGGAAGUCCCACCUGUACAUUCUGCCUAGCUACUGGCCGUGCAGCUCUUUAAUAAACCAGUCAUAACAGUAUGUCUUCACACGGGGUACAAACUUCCCACAACACCAGCUGGCCCAGAGCAUUGUGAGAAAUGUCUGUGUUUCAGAGAGGACCAGAGAAGGGAAAGACUCUUUGAGUAAAACGCUUUUUUUGGUGUGAGGCAGGGUCUCACGGAGGCCAGGCCACGCUAUGUAGUGAAGGAUGUCCUCCUGCCUCUACCUCCAGAGCGCUGGGAUGCAGGACCUCUGCCGCCGGGUCCAGCUUGAUAAGGUGGUAGUUAAACAACUUGAAGGAAGCUGCCGUGGAUGGAUAUUUUGAAGCUCUGACUCCCAUCUUUGUUCAGUUGGGAGAUGGGAAGGAAGUAAUUUAAGUUGGAUACGGUGGUAAGGAAAAGGGAUUGACCUGUGUGUGUGUGGGGGGGGAUUAAUGUACUUAACCAUUGGACUGGAGAGAUGGGUCAGGGAUUAAGAGCACUGGUAUUCUUAUAGAGGACCCAGGCUUGGCUAUCAGCAACCUGGUUUAUAACCAUCCGUAACUCCAGUUUCAGGAGCUUUGACACCCUCUUCUGGCAGGCACACAUGUGGGACGCAGACAAAAUGCCCCAUACAUAUAAAAUAAACAUUUUAAAAAACAUUAAAAAGGAAAGAAAGACAAGCUUAUAGCACCCUUUUUCCCGCUCACUCCAAAGCACCCAGCUAGGAAAGGACGAGUUGAGACACAGCAAAGGAGCUGACUGCAAGCCAAGCUGAGCUGGGACAACAGCCCUUUCCAGAAAUCGCACUUGCGGAGCACUGGCCUCAGACUUCCCAGCUUCCAGAACAUCAAGAAAGUGAACUCCCUACUUUAGGCCACACAGUCAAUGGAAAAAGGCCAUCGGAACCCCGGAAAAGCUACAUCAGAAGAGCAAACAAGUACAAGCUGUGAACCCCAGUGCCAGCAUGUGGGGGAGGGGAAGGAGCGGCUGGAGGAAGGGCGGAUAUCGUGGAGAGAAGCUGAAACUGUUCAGACGCUGGGGUCCCUGCAGCUCGCCACCCUCGGAGUCUAUGGGCAUAGGGACUCGUCCUGCUGUCUGGCUUUGUGUCCCCACUGGUUACUAAACGCCGGCGGCUUGGCGUCUGCCUGAAGAGUGGGCGAGAGCUGAAAGCAUAACAUGGUUCUAGCUGGGGACCAAG